This 566-nucleotide ribosomal RNA is filed under the name Pichia kluyveri. RNAcentral's name for it is "partial 26S ribosomal RNA". It matches the Rfam family "Eukaryotic large subunit ribosomal RNA", at positions 62 to 646 of the family's 3401-position model. Lineage: Eukaryota; Fungi; Ascomycota; Pichiomycetes; Pichiales; Pichiaceae. The record is from RNAcentral.
AAACCAACAGGGAUUGCCUCAGUAGCGGCGAGUGAAGCGGCAAGAGCUCAGAUUUGAAAUCUCACCUAGUGUGCGAGUUGUAAAUUGCAGGUUGGAGUCUCGGGUUAGACGUGUGUGCAAGUCCCUUGGAACAGGGCGCCACUGAGGGUGAGAGCCCCGUAGCGUGCAUGUCGACACCUGUGAGGCCCUUCUGACGAGUCGAGUUGUUUGGGAAUGCAGCUCUAAGUGGGUGGUAAAUUCCAUCUAAGGCUAAAUAUUGGCGAGAGACCGAUAGCGAACAAGUACUGUGAAGGAAAGAUGAAAAGCACUUUGAAAAGAGAGUGAAACAGCACGUGAAAUUGUUGAAAGGGAAGGGUAUUGGGCUCGACAUGGGAUUUACGCAUCGUUGCCUCUCGUGGGCGGCGCUCUGGGUUUUUCCUGGGCCAGCAUCGGUUUUCGUUGCAGGAUAAGGACAAUUGGAAUGUGGCUCCUCGGAGUGUUAUAGCCUUUUGUAGAUGCUGCGUAUGGGGACCGAGGGCUGCGGCGGACUUGUUUCGUCUCGGAUGCUGGCACAACGGCGCAAUACC